GACGAACGCUGGCGGCGUGCCUAAUACAUGCAAGUUGAGCGAUGAAGAUUGGUGCUUGCACCAAUUUGAAGAGCAGCGAACGGGUGAGUAACGCGUGGGGAAUCUGCCUUUGAGCGGGGGACAACAUUUGGAAACGAAUGCUAAUACCGCAUAACAACUUUAAACAUAAGUUUUAAGUUUGAAAGAUGCAAUUGCAUCACUCAAAGAUGAUCCCGCGUUGUAUUAGCUAGUUGGUGAGGAAAAGGCUCACCAAGGCGAUGAUACAUAGCCGACCUGAGAGGGUGAUCGGCCACAUUGGGACUGAGACACGGCCCAAACUCCUACGGGAGGCAGCAGUAGGGAAUCUUCGGCAAUGGACGAAAGUCUGACCGAGCAACGCCGCGUGAGUGAAGAAGGUUUUCGGAUCGUAAAACUCUGUUGGUAGAGAAGAACGUUUGUGAGAGUGGAAAGCUCAUCAAGUGACGGUAACUACCCAGAAAGGGACGGCUAACUACGUG
Molecule: ribosomal RNA, 497 nt
Filed under: uncultured bacterium
Lineage: Bacteria
Description: partial 16S ribosomal RNA
Rfam family: Bacterial small subunit ribosomal RNA
Source: RNAcentral